UUUUAUUUGAGAGUUUGAUCCUGGCUCAGGAUGAACGCUGGCGGCGUGCCUAACACAUGCAAGUUGAGCGAUUUACUUCGGUAAAGAGCGGCGGACGGGUGAGUAACGCGUGGGUAACCUACCCUGUACACACGGAUAACAUACCGAAAGGUAUGCUAAUACGGGAUAAUAUAUUUGAGAGGCAUCUCUUGAAUAUCAAAGGUGAGCCAGUACAGGAUGGACCCGCGUCUGAUUAGCUAGUUGGUAAGGUAACGGCUUACCAAGGCGACGAUCAGUAGCCGACCUGAGAGGGUGAUCGGCCACAUUGGAACUGAGACACGGUCCAAACUCCUACGGGAGGCAGCAGUGGGGAAUAUUGC
RNAcentral lists this ribosomal RNA (359 nucleotides) under Clostridioides difficile. RNAcentral describes it as "bacterial SSU rRNA". It matches the Rfam family "Bacterial small subunit ribosomal RNA", at positions 1 to 367 of the family's 1533-position model. Lineage: Bacteria; Bacillati; Bacillota; Clostridia; Peptostreptococcales; Peptostreptococcaceae. The record is from RNAcentral.